RNAcentral lists this signal recognition particle RNA (99 nucleotides) under Bacteroidales bacterium. Its description in RNAcentral is "signal recognition particle sRNA small type". It matches the Rfam family "Bacteroidales small SRP". From Rfam's summary of the family: The non-coding component of the signal recognition particle in Bacteroides Lineage: Bacteria; Pseudomonadati; Bacteroidota; Bacteroidia; Bacteroidales. The record is from RNAcentral. RNAcentral also lists the same sequence under 1 other name.
GGGUAAGUUCUGUACGACCAGCUCCCACCAAAUCCCCCAGGUUCGGAAGGAAGCAAGGGUAGGUGGUUGUAGCGGUGCGAUACAGGGGGCUUACCCUUU